RNAcentral lists this ribosomal RNA (554 nucleotides) under uncultured bacterium. RNAcentral's name for it is "partial 16S ribosomal RNA". It matches the Rfam family "Bacterial small subunit ribosomal RNA", at positions 355 to 900 of the family's 1533-position model. The record is from RNAcentral.
UAGGGAAUCUUCCACAAUGGACGCAAGUCUGAUGGAGCAACGCCGCGUGAGUGAAGAAGGUUUUCGGACCGUAAAGCUCUGUUGUUGGUGAAGAAGGAUAGAGGUAGUAACUGGCCUUUAUUUGACGGUAAUCAACCAGAAAGUCACGGCUAACUACGUGCCAGCAGCCGCGGUAAUACGUAGGUGGCAAGCGUUGUCCGGAUUUAUUGGGCGUAAAGCGAGCGCAGGCGGAAGAAUAAGUCUGAUGUGAAAGCCCUCGGCUUAACCGAGGAAUUGCAUCGGAAACUGUUUUCUUGAGUGCAGAAGAGGAGAGUAGAACUCCAUGUGUAGCGGUGGAAUGCGUAGAUAUAUGGAAGAAUACCAGUGGCGAAGGCGACUCUCUGGUCUGCAACUGACGCUGAGGCUCGAAAGCAUGGGUAGCGAACAGGAUUAGAUACCCUGGUAGUCCAUGCCGUAAACGAUGAGUGCUAAGUGUUGGGAGGCUUCCGCCUCUCAGUGCUGCAGCUAACGCAUUAAGCACUCCGCCUGGGGGAGUACGACCGCAAGGUUGAAAC